This 437-nucleotide ribosomal RNA is filed under the name uncultured bacterium. RNAcentral's name for it is "bacterial SSU rRNA". It matches the Rfam family "Bacterial small subunit ribosomal RNA", at positions 57 to 507 of the family's 1533-position model. The record is from RNAcentral.
GCAAGUCGAACGAGAAAGCGGGGGCAACUCCGUGAGUAAAGUGGCGACCGGGUGAGUAACACGUGAGCAACCUGCCCCGAAGACUGGGAUAACACCGGGAAACCGGUGCUAAUACCGGAUACCCCCACCGGAUCGCAUGUUCUGGUGAGGAAAUGGAUUCCGCUUCGGGAGGGACUCGCGGCCUAUCAGCUUGUUGGUGGGGUAACGGCCCACCAAGGCUCCGACGGGUAGCUGGUCUGAGAGGACGAUCAGCCACACUGGGACUGAAACACGGUCCAGACUCCUACGGGAGGCAGCAGUGGGGAAUUUUGCGCAAUGGGGGAAACCCUGACGCAGCAACGCCGCGUGGAGGAUGAAGUCCCUUGGGACGUANACUCCUUUCGACCGGGACGAAAAAAAUGACGGUACCGGUGGAAGAAGCCCCGGCUAACUCCGUG